Vidua chalybeata is the source of this 934-nucleotide long non-coding RNA. RefSeq lists it as uncharacterized. The record is from RefSeq and is a predicted model, not a curated record. The transcript has 4 exons. Lineage: Eukaryota; Metazoa; Chordata; Aves; Passeriformes; Viduidae.
UUUCUUGUUAAGAAACAAUUUAGCAAGAUGGGUUUAAGCCCUGAGCCCCCAGUUACUUUGACCUCUUGUCCUGUCCUUACUCCUCAGAGAGCCACCUCUCGCUGCUGCUGGUUCCCCUGCAGGCCUCCAUCACUGGUGCUGACAGGAUCCAGGAUCCUGUCCUGGAUCCUGGAUCCUGGAUCCUGUCCAUGGCAGCAGCCAGGAUUUGGGCUGGCUUAGCUUUUGGGACAGGGCUCUUUGUCACAGCCACCACCGUGCUCUGCCCCUCUCACAAAUAGGAGGCAGUGUCCUAACUGGUGUGAUCCAGCCUCUUCAGUCACACAGGUGCAGAUCAAAUGAAGUCCAGAGCAGCGAAGGCCUUUGCUUUGUCUAACUGGUUAUUGCUGGGCGAUGCUGCUGAGAACAAGCAAACAAGAGAGAGACUAUGCAAGCUGGUAGCAUCACAAUAAUGUCAAGUUUUCUGUUUUCUGGAGCAAUUCUAAUACUUCUGUAACAUCUGGGCAUGCCAAGGCCUGCAUUACUGAUGAAGCUGAAUAUUUUUUCUUCUACCUUUUUCUUAGAAGAACAAUUAUGGCACUUACUUAUUCCACUGCUUCUCCCCCUCCCCCACAUUUUCCCUCUGACUACUUCUGCCCUGAUGACCUCUUUGAAGAUGCUUAAAAUAAUAUUCCAGGCUGACAGAAGAACCAGAAAGGGUGACUGUGAAUGAGGCUAAAAAAGAUAUCCCUUGUGUUUAUUGGACUGUGGACAGAAAAUAUGCUUGUUUAAUGAAGAAAGAAAAAGAAUUAGAUUCCCUCAAAACAAGAAGAAAAAGGACCUAGAACACUGUUAUCAUUCACCACUAAUGACAUGCUGUCUUAAAUUGUCCCAGAACUGAAAGAGAAUGUCAUCUUGCUUCUACUUUGGUAAAAGCAUUGACUCUUUGUGUGACAGC